Molecule: ribosomal RNA, 467 nt
Filed under: uncultured bacterium
Lineage: Bacteria
Description: bacterial SSU rRNA
Rfam family: Bacterial small subunit ribosomal RNA
Source: RNAcentral
AACGAACGCUGGCGGCAGGCCUAACACAUGCAAGUCGAACGCCGUAGCAAUACGGAGUGGCAGACGGGUGAGUAACACGUGGGAACAUACCCUUCGGUUCGGAAUAACUCAGGGAAACUUGAGCUAAUACCGGAUACGUCCGCGAGGAGAAAGAUUCAUCGCCGGAGGAUUGGCCCGCGUCUGAUUAGCUUGUUGGUGAGGUAAUGGCCUACCAAGGCGACGAUCAGUAGCGGUCUGAGAGGAUGAUCAGCCACACUGGGACUGAGACACGGCCCAGACUCCUACGGGAGGCAGCAGUGGGGAAUCUUGCGCAAUGGUCUAACGACUGACGCAGCGACGCCGCGUGAGGGAAUGAAGCUCUUCGGAGUGUAAACCUCUGUGCCCGGGACGAAUAGCGGAUUAUUCCGACUUGACGGGUACCGGGUGAGGAAGGCNCCGGCUAACUCCGUGCCAGCAGCCGCCGCUGU